GCAGGUGAAUGCUUUCCAAUUUGAGAUAGCACGUCAUGAGGAGAUAAAUAGAGAAUGCUGGAGUGAGCAGACAGGCCAGGCUUAUAGAGAGCUGAAAAUGGAUAGUGAUGAUGCAAAAUUCCAGAUGGACUACCCUCUACUCUAGAGCUUUGCAAACUUCUGCUCAAAGAUGGGUAGGAAGAUUCUGUUGGCUGUGCAGGGAAAACCAAGAGAUAAUAGAAGGAAGUUUAACAAUCUGCUUCUAAGAAAGAAGGCAGCUCUGGAAGUAAACUGGUAGAGGCUCCUCAGAGAGUUCCCUCCUCCUAAGAUCUGUAUUAAAUGGGUUGUCUGGUAGUCCUUCAAAUCACCACUCUAAAUGUUCUUGGGAAACCAUUCAGUCUUCCAGGCCC
This 389-nucleotide long non-coding RNA is filed under the name Homo sapiens (human). Its description in RNAcentral is "HSALNT0172303". Lineage: Eukaryota; Metazoa; Chordata; Mammalia; Primates; Hominidae. The record is from RNAcentral.